Molecule: long non-coding RNA, 3448 nt
Organism: Lutra lutra (Eurasian river otter)
Lineage: Eukaryota; Metazoa; Chordata; Mammalia; Carnivora; Mustelidae
Exons: 3
Source: RefSeq, a predicted model, not a curated record
AAAAGCCAGUCUACACUACCAGGCUCUGUCAAUUCCCAGGCCAACCAAAAGUAGGAAGAGCUGUUUUCUCCCUUGCAAGGGUUUGUCUGCUGGUGAUGAGGUGGAGAAAGUUUUCCACUGACGACAGAAGGAAUACUGGUCCAAGGUACAUAGGAGAACAAAAUUUUCUACCAGUCACCCAACAGAGAAGAGGGCUUUACAUUCAUCAUGAGUUUUACUGUUCUAGAAGACUUAGGAGGAAUAAAUGUGACUUGGAAUGCAAGGCUAUUUUCUCUGCCUGGAAGGUAGCUUGACUCUCCACUAUCAAAGGAAACAAUGUUACAGUCCACAAGGUAACCAGAAGCACAGAAGACCUCCAGGAAGCUACAGCAAAGCUGAUCACACCUCGUCUAUCUUUUGCUGCAUGGGCUGGGUCUCAUGCUUCUCAAUAUUUUAGAACUGGAAGUAUUACAAAGAGCAGAGUACAAGGAAUUUAGGAGCCAUUUGGCUCAGUGCCACACACCAUCUUGUUUGAGAGCUCCCUGAAGGUAAGACCACAUCUUAUUCUUCUCUACAAAAGCAGCACUUAUCAUGGAAUCUGGCAAUUAGCUGGUGUUCAAUAAAUGUUUAUGGAAUGACUGACGCAUUACAAUCAGGGCAGAGGGAUGUUCUUCAAUAUAGAGUGGCGGAAGGACUCCAGACAUGUCUUUUUCCAAGACGGUAAAUAAGAUCCUAUAUUUUUAAAUCCCUUGAUAAAUGGCCCUUGUUAUUGCCACCGAACAGUGAAUACCGCUAUAAUAUGCGUGACGAGCUGUCCUCCUGUUUGCUUCGUCGGCUGCUGUCUCAGCCCUGUCCCACAGUCAGCCUUUGAGUGGAGGGUUGGGUACGGUCACUGAAGACUGAAAGAGAGGUGGAGGGAAUGGCGGCUGUUCUACUUUGCCAGAGCCCAUGUCCCUUCCCUCCUCCCACCCCUUGUCAAACAAGAGGGCUGAUUACAGUGGCCCCUUCUCCUGGCCAGAAGGAUUUGUCCAGGGGAACAUGUGUCUCAAGCUGGGCACAUGCUCAGAGGCCUUCCCUGGAAACACAUUCCCUCGAACUGGGGGAAAACAUGUCUCUUUUGUCUCUAUUUGAAGGUUAAGAGGAUGUACGGUGAGAAGUGUCCAUGGUCAGAGUUCCAGCUUCAUGGGGACAACAGCCUCAGAAAAAGGAGCCAACUUUCGGGAGCAAGACAGAGGGAGAAGAGGGGUAAAAGACAGGGAUGGGGAGAAAGAAAGAAGGAAAGGGAGAAGAGGUUAAAAAAAGAGAGAGAAAAGCUGAGAUCGGACAGCAUGUGAGGCUCUGGGUCCAGGUCGGGAGCACCCUUCCUUUUCCGUUUGGUUUUAUGAAAAAAUUAACACCCUUUUUAUGCUUAGGGUAGUUUGGGUUAACUUUUCAUCCAUGCAACUGAAGAGUCCUAACUAAAAGGUGAAAAACAGGGGUUACAUCAGUUCUUCUCCAACCUUCCCGUGCAUGGGAGUCUGCCCGGAUCUCGUGACAGUGCAGACUCUAAGUCAGGAGACCGGAAUGGACCUGAGACUCUGCAUUGCAACAAGCUGCCAGAUGAAGCUGUCGCUGCCGCUCCCCAAACCCACUCAGGUUACAGUGACUCCCAGGGACAUAAGAGAACUGCCUCACAAAGGCUUUUCCCAUCCGUCUGUCCUCCUGCUUUCCCUCCCUCCCUCAGCAUCUGUGGGCUCCUUUGGUCCUUGGACCACCUCGCAUGCCCAGCCCUUCUCUGCUGUGCUCAGUCACCCGGUGUCGCCCCAGUCACUCAUGACACAUGCGUCCUAGCACUCAGCCGAAACUGUAACCAGGACACCUUGGCUAGCUGGGCCCAUUUCCCUGCGAAGGCACUUUAGUGAGCACAUCUAAGUAUUGUUUGUGGUCUCACUCCCAUCCCAAGGGACUUAUUAAAGUCCUUCUUCCGAACAUAAACAGAAGUCUCCUGGAGAGGCACCCUAGGAAAUACAGUAUCUACCACCUCGUGACAUCCCCCCUGCCCUCCAAAGAACAGGCAGAACAGGCUUGUGGGAACAGUUGUGGAGACCCCUAAAAAUGAAGUUUGCUGGUCGAUGGCUGGUCUUGGAAACCAUCUCAUUCAAAACCACAGCUGUUGACAGAUGGUGUGCUUGCUAUGCGUAAAGUGCUUGGGUCAGUAGGCUCUCUGAACUUGCAGAAGUUCAGGGAAUCUCGUCCUUGUUAUGCCUUCCAGCUGCUAGGACUGCUUUCUGAGAACACUCACAUCUCUCCCUAAGUUUUCCAGCUUCCUAGCUGUGAUGGUUUAUAUAGAGGUUCUGGGAGAAGUGGUUUGGGAAAUCUUAGCAGAAAGUUUAGGAUAAAGGAAUAAAAUUUUUCUUAAAAAAAAAAAAACAAUGCAUGUGUUAGAAUGAUGUAUGACUCACCCACUGAACCAUGGUGUUUCCUAAAGUCCAUGCAAGAGUAGGUCAUGCUCUACCAUCUUCUGCACCUAGAAUUAUUUCUUUCCACGUCCUCCAACCUUCCCCCUAGCCAACUCUCAUUCCUCUUUUCCCACCAAAAUGGGGGGCUUAGCUCCCUUAGUGAUACUGGUGGGGGGGCAGCUUCAUGGCAAUAUUCACCCUGUUCCCCAUUCUGAACUGAGUUGGAAGCCAAAGAACCUGUCAGACAAGAGAAUUUCCCCGAGGAAAGAACAAAUUCCCCCUGUGAGGACUUCAGGGUAGCAGCUAACAGGCUCUUGUCCGCUGCUGAGAGCCAGGUGGUUUUCCUCUGCCUUUGUUUUUGGUCAGUGCCCUUCCUCCUCCUCCUCCCCCACCUCCCCCUCACUUGGCUUCAGUAGCUCUGCCCACUCUUACUUCCCUCUCCGGCCCAUUUACCCACAUGUGUGUGUGCUUGCGGUGGUAAUGUUCUCAUCUGGACAUGUUCGCCACACUUUAAACAUACUAGGAGACAAAGGCAUGAGCACAUUCAAGAAAUACCUAAGUUCCUAAGUCACCUUUCAAGUUUUCCUCCUGAUCUCUUUCAAACUUCCAUUUCUCCUUCAUUGCGUUUUCAACAUCUUCUCUUGUUACAACUGGUAACCCAUCUGACUUCUCUUCACUCAGCUCCUUUAGUAGGUUCCGUAUGUGCCAAGUCUGUUCGUCCUUCAAGUGUUUGUUCUGCCAUGAAAAUCAACAGUGGGUAACUACAUCUGCUUGAGUAUUUACAUUGACUUGCCUCAAAACAGAGUCACAUGCUGAGGCUUACAAAGUGAGAAUAAGACAUCUAAUGAAAUAAAUUUAUACAAUAUUUCUAAGAGCUUCUGGAACAUGGAAGGUGCAAAGUAAAAUUAAACCCAUCAACACAGCAACUAUUGAAUAGAAGGUUACAUUUAAAAAAUUAUGUUAUUGGGGCACCUGGGUCACUCAGCGGUUAAGUGUCUGCCUUCUGCUCAGGUGGUGAUCCUAGCAUCCUG